Cynoglossus semilaevis (tongue sole) is the source of this 820-nucleotide long non-coding RNA. RefSeq lists it as uncharacterized. The transcript has 2 exons. NCBI's taxonomy places the organism in Eukaryota, Metazoa, Chordata, Actinopteri, Pleuronectiformes, Cynoglossidae. The record is from RefSeq and is a predicted model, not a curated record.
CUCAUUUAGGGACAGACAACCAUCGACAACCACAUUCAUGGUUAAUUUACAGCAUCCAAUCAGAUUAACUCCUCAGGGAGGAAACCAGAGGAUUGGACAAAAAAAAACACACACGCACAGACAAACAUCCCAUAGUUAAAUAUAAGACGAAGGUAAAUAUGAAUAUGAUGCAACGUCUGAAAAAAAUUUAUAAACCACACAGUCGCAAUAAGAAGUAGCACAGGAGUGUGUGUGUGUGUGUGUGUGUGUGUGAGCUGGUAAAGAAGUGUGUGGGUGAAUAUGUUAAUAUCCUGGCUUCACAUGAGUUUUGUGAAAAAAAAAGAUAUAUUCUGUAUCUUGGGAGUUUGGACGACGCUGGACUGGUUUUUUUUUUUUUUUUUUUGGACCAGGAACAAAAUCCGUCUGUUUUCACCGAUGUCUCGGCCGGAGACGGAAUGCAGGACGCAGGGCGUAGGACGGUCCGGUGGCAACGUUCGUUACAGGAAAACUGUUUGUACGUUGAAGUUCUGUUAAUAGUCAGUUGGUGGUUUGUGGUUCGAUGGUGUAGCGGUUAUUACACCGGUCUUACACGUAGAAAGUCCUGCGUUCGAACCCCAGAGGAACCAUAAACUUAAUAACACCCUUUACCGCCCCCAUGUGGCAGCCCUGUGUGGGUUCACUGUGAAUUUCCCUGUUGUGGAAUGAAUUAGCGACUAAUAUAUUUUUUUAUUUUUUCAUAGAUGUUUAUUUUUGCUGCACUACGGGUUCAUCUUCAGUUCGGUCUCUUUCGAUGAUGUCAUUUCUGUCAAAGAGCUAAUGUUUACCACGUGACUUCAACAUC